UUUUUUGAUCUGAGGCCAAGUGUCGUAGCUUGGCUGGAAUAUUGGGGAAAGUCCGGUGAGAUUCCGGCACUGUCGCGCAACGGUAUGGCUCAAUGCUAAGUCCGAAUGCCCACUCAGUUCGAGUUGAUCAA
This 131-nucleotide non-coding RNA is filed under the name Herpetosiphon aurantiacus. The record is from RNAcentral. Lineage: Bacteria; Bacillati; Chloroflexota; Chloroflexia; Herpetosiphonales; Herpetosiphonaceae.